UGGGGAAUAUUGCACAAUGGAGGAAACUCUGAUGCAGCGACGCCGCGUGAGUGAAGAAGUAUUUCGGUAUGUAAAGCUCUAUCAGCAGGGAAGACAGUGACGGUACCUGACUAAGAAGCUCCGGCUAAAUACGUGCCAGCAGCCGCGGUAAUACGUAUGGAGCAAGCGUUAUCCGGAUUUACUGGGUGUAAAGGGAGUGUAGGUGGUAUCACAAGUCAGAAGUGAAAGCCCGGGGCUCAACCCCGGGACUGCUUUUGAAACUGUGGAACUGGAGUGCAGGAGAGGUAAGUGGAAUUCCUAGUGUAGCGGUGAAAUGCGUAGAUAUUAGGAGGAACACCAGUGGCGAAGGCGGCUUACUGGACUGUAACUGACACUGAGGCUCGAAAGCGUGGGGAGCAAACA
RNAcentral lists this ribosomal RNA (402 nucleotides) under uncultured bacterium. RNAcentral's name for it is "bacterial SSU rRNA". It matches the Rfam family "Bacterial small subunit ribosomal RNA", at positions 355 to 774 of the family's 1533-position model. The record is from RNAcentral.